GAUUUUUCAUGGGACCGUACCGGGCUGUUCAGCAGCGGCAUGUAAGGAAUUUCUGAUGGAAAGCAGAGACAGGCAGUGGCAGGGCAGGCAGCUGCCUGCAGGAGAGAAGUUCCUCCAGGCCAGGGAGGACCCCCAGCUUUGGAGCAGUGGUCUUUUUGUUCCCCUGGGACAACCCCCACUGGUUUCCAUUGGUGUUCAACCCCCAGCCCUGAGAAACGUUUGCCAUAAGAGCUCCAUCAGAGAGAGGCGUGUGAGGACCAUGGCCUUGGAGAACUGCUCCUGCCUCACAUCCGACCUGCUGCAGAAGGCUUGGGUGGAGGAAAUGAAAGAUGAGAAGGAAAUAUUAAACUCAGCCGUGCCGUGGAAGUCAGCGAAAGGCUGCAGCUUGAGGAGAGAAGCUGCAAGAUGCCCCUCCAUUGCAAGCCUCAGGAUUCAAAAAUCAUUGCUGGGCAGUUUCCAAUUCCAGGAGCCACAGCUUCCAAGGGACACCUGUAGUGAAGAAACCAGCAAUGCCAUUGGAGAUUAUUAGCAACCACAUAACCAACGUGAGAUUUAAUUUGAGGUAGAGCCUCCAAACAUAUUCCAAGUCAGGAGUAUAACUAACACGUCUGUGAAAAACCUUCUGGAGGGGAAGGAUUGAAUUUCUCCUUUCCCUGUUAAAUACUUUACUCAAAGUCAUCUUUCCUGACGUCAGGAGCUGGGCAACAGCGAGCUCGUCUGGGUUGGGACCUCAGUCCAGGCUGGACACCCAGGCCAGGUGAGGUACCUGCACCACCUCAGCAAUCAGUAGAGAGGAGGAGCUGGAAGGGACAACAUCUCUGGGGUGUGAUAUGUCCUAGUCACCUCUUUUAAACUGGAACCUAAUCUUAUGGUUAAAGCUUUAUGUAGGAUGAUCAAAGCCUUAGAUCUUUGCACUGGUGAGAUAUCUCCUGGGAGCAGGCUCGAUGGAUUUGUUU
This 956-nucleotide long non-coding RNA is filed under the name Calidris pugnax (ruff). RNAcentral's name for it is "lncRNA (ENSCPUG00000010126.1)". The record is from RNAcentral. Lineage: Eukaryota; Metazoa; Chordata; Aves; Charadriiformes; Scolopacidae.